CUCCCGCUUUCUUUACUACGGAUCGUCCGGCACGUACCUGCCGGUGAAGGAGAACAGAU
RNAcentral lists this non-coding RNA (59 nucleotides) under Microbacterium lemovicicum. RNAcentral's name for it is "msiK". It matches the Rfam family "msiK RNA". Lineage: Bacteria; Bacillati; Actinomycetota; Actinomycetes; Micrococcales; Microbacteriaceae. The record is from RNAcentral.